Molecule: ribosomal RNA, 468 nt
Filed under: uncultured bacterium
Lineage: Bacteria
Description: partial 16S ribosomal RNA
Rfam family: Bacterial small subunit ribosomal RNA
Source: RNAcentral
GACGAACGCUGGCGGCGUGCUUAACACAUGCAAGUCGAACGGAAAGGCCCUGCUUUUGUGGGGUGCUCGAGUGGCGAACGGGUGAGUAACACGUGAGUAACCUGCCCUUUACUUUGUGAUAACUUCAGGAAACUGGGGCUAAUACCGGAUAGGAGCUCCUGCUGCAUGGUGGGGGUUGGAAAGUUUCGGCGGUUGUGGAUGUACUCGGGGCUUAUCAGCUUGUUGGUGGGGUAGUGGCUUACCAAGGCUUUGACGGGUAGCCGGCCUGAGAGGGGGAACGGCGACAAGGGGACUGAGAGACGGACCAGACGCGUACGGGAGGCAGUAGGGGGGAAUAUUGCACAAUGGGCGGAAGCGUGAUGCAGCAACGCUGCGUGCGGGAUGAAGGCCUUCGGGUUGGAAACCGCAUUCGCCUGAGACGAAGCGGGAGUGACGGUAAUGGGUAAAGAAGCACCGGCUAACUACGUG